AAAAUAUAAAUUUUUUUAUUUAAUUUCAAAAGUAAGUUUUCUAUAACAGAUUACCGGUGUGAAAAUCCUAUAAAAGAUAUUUUCCUAUUUUAUUUUAAAAUAUCUUUUUUAGAUAUUAUCUAUUUAAUUUCAAAAUAUAUUUUCUUUUUAAGAUAACGGAUUUUAUUUUUCUACUUAAUUUAAAAAAUUUAUUUCCUAACGGAUUUUAUUUUUCUAUUUAAUUUCAAAAGUAAUUUUUGCAUUAGAGAUUAUUGUUAAUUAUUUAUCAUUUAAAGCAUAUCUUUCUUAAUAGCGUGAUUUAUUAUUUUAAAUUUUUUAGAUACAUAUUUGGCAAUUAUAUAAAAUAUGGCCUAAAAUUAAAAAAUAAUUUUAAAAAAUUAUAACUUCUUCUAAUAAUUAUUACGUGCAUUUGUACGUACAUUUUACUAGUAUAUAUAUAUAUAGUUUUGAUUUAUAUAUU
This 460-nucleotide long non-coding RNA is filed under the name Ananas comosus (pineapple). RNAcentral describes it as "long non-coding RNA (ACOM_LNC009822)". The record is from RNAcentral. Lineage: Eukaryota; Viridiplantae; Streptophyta; Magnoliopsida; Poales; Bromeliaceae.